GACGAACGCUGGCGGCGUGCUUAACACAUGCAAGUCGAACGGAAAGGCCUGCUUUCCCUUGUGGAUUGCGGGUACUCGAGUGGCGGACGGGUGAGUAACACGUGAGUGAUCUGCCCCCAACUUGGGUAUAAGCCUGGGAAACUGGGUCUAAUUCCCGAUAGGACUGCAGGGUGGUGCCUGUGGUGGAAAACGAUUUUCUAGUGGUUGGGGAUGAGCUCGCGGCCUAUCAGCUUGUUGGUGGGGUAAUGGCCUACCAAGGCGGCGACGGGUAGCCGGCCUGAGAGGGUGGACGGCCACAUUGGGACUGAGAUACGGCCCAGACUCCUACGGGAGGCAGCAGUGGGGAAUAUUGCACAAUGGGCGGAAGCCUGAUGCAGCGACGCCGCGUGGGGGAUGACGGCCUUCGGGUGGUAAACUCCUUUCGACCGCGAGGAAGCCACCUGGUUGGAAGGGUGGUGACGGUAGUGGUAGAAGAAGCACCGGCUAACUACGUG
This 494-nucleotide ribosomal RNA is filed under the name uncultured bacterium. RNAcentral describes it as "partial 16S ribosomal RNA". It matches the Rfam family "Bacterial small subunit ribosomal RNA", at positions 28 to 507 of the family's 1533-position model. The record is from RNAcentral.